Molecule: small RNA, 1744 nt
Filed under: Pan troglodytes (chimpanzee)
Lineage: Eukaryota; Metazoa; Chordata; Mammalia; Primates; Hominidae
Description: processed transcript
Source: RNAcentral
GACACAGAACACAGCCAAGACCUGGAAAGCGCCCUCAUCCGGCUGGAGGAGGAGCAGCAGAGGAGUGCCAGCCUGGCCCAGGUGAAUGCCAUGCUCCGAGAACAGCUGGACCAGGCAGGCUCGGCCAACCAGGCUCUGAGUGAGGACAUACGAAAGGUGACCAACGACUGGACACGCUGCCGCAAGGAGCUGGAGCACCGGGAGGCGGCAUGGAGGCGCGAGGAGGAGGGACCUGCUGCAGCUGGGAGGGGAGCUGGCCCGGACAUCACGAGCUGUCCAGGAGGCGGGCCUGGGACUGAGCACGGGCCUACGGCUGGCAGAGAGCCGGGCCGAGGCAGCCCUGGAGAAACAGGCCCUGCUGCAGGCCCAGCUGGAGGAGCAGCUGCGGAACAAGGUGCUCCGUGAGAAGGACCUGGUGCAGCAGCAGAUGCAAAGCGACCUGGACAAGGCUGACCUCAGUGCCAGAGUGACAGAGUUGGCCCUGGCAGUGGAGCGUCUUCAGAAGCAGAAUCUGGAGAAGGAUCAGGUCAACAAGGACCUCACUGAGAAGCUUGAGGCCCUGGAAUCCCUGCGGCUACAGGAGCAGGCGGCCCUGGAGACAGAGGAUGGAGAGGGGCUACAGCAGACCCUAAGGGACCUGGCACAGGCCGUCUUGUCAGACUCUGAGAGCGGCGUCCAGCUGAGCGGCUCUGAGCGCACCGCGGAUGCUUCCAAUGGCAGCCUGCGGGGGCUCUCGGGCCAGCGGACCCCGUCCCCACCGCGGCGCUCCUCGCCUGGCCGAGGCCGUUCACCCCGCCGAGGCCCCUCCCCGGCCUGCUCAGACUCCUCCACGCUCGCCCUGAUCCACUCCGCCCUGCACAAGCGCCAGCUGCAGGUCCAGGACAUGCGUGGGCGCUAUGAGGCAAGCCAGGACCUACUGGGCACCCUGCGGAAGCAGCUUAGCGACAGCGAGAGCGAGCGGCGGGCCCUAGAGGAACAGCUGCAGCGCCUGCGGGACAAGACCGAUGGCGCCAUGCAGGCCCACGAGGACGCCCAGCGCGAGGUGCAGCGGCUGCGGAGCGCCAACGAGCUCCUGAGCAGGCUGGGGCACAAUUGGUCCAUCACAGCUCACUGUAGCCUGGAACUCCCAGACUCAAGCGAUCCUCCCACCUCUACCUCCCAACUGCUCCUAGUUGGGGGCCUGGGCCUGGCCUGGGGAAGGAUAUGGGACCGAAGCCUGAGAGUUAGGUUUCCACUCCCUUCCUCUGUGCCCUCAUCACCCUCUGAGCCCUCACCUCCCUGGGUUCCUGGGCAACUCUGAUCUCAGCCUCGAGGAUAGUAGACAAGCCGCCAACAUUUCUAAAUUUUUUGUAGAGAUGGGGGUCUCACUAUGUUGCCCAUGCUGGUCUUGAACUCCUAGCUUCAAUCACUCCUCCCACCUCAGCCUCCCAAAUUGCUGGGAUUACAGACAUAAGCCACUGUGCCUGGCUCUAUUAAAAUUUAAUUAAAAAUUUUAAAAAGUGAAAAUUCAGGCUGGGUGUGGUGGCUCACACCCAGCUUCCUGGCCAACAUGGUGAAACCCUGUUUCUACUAAAAAUACAAAAAUUAACCAGGCAUGGUGGCAUGCUCCUGUAAUCCCAGCUAUUCAGGAGGCUGAGGUGGGAGAAUCACUUGAACCCCGGAGGCAGAGGUUGCAAUGAGCCAGGAUCGUGCCACUGCACUCCAGGCUGGGAGACAGAGCGAGACUCCAUCUCAAAAAAAAAAA